This 331-nucleotide unclassified non-coding RNA is filed under the name soil metagenome. Its description in RNAcentral is "partial contains 5.8S ribosomal RNA, internal transcribed spacer 2, and large subunit ribosomal RNA". The stretch from base 1 to 120 matches the Rfam family "5.8S ribosomal RNA", at positions 35 to 154 of the family's 154-position model. The record is from RNAcentral.
GAUGAAGAACGCAGUGAAAUGCGAUAAGUAAUGUGAAUUGCAGAAUUCGGUGAAUCAUCGAAUCUUUGAACGCACAUUGCGCCCCCUGGUAUUCCGGGGGGCAUGCCUGUUCGAGCGUCAUUUCACCACUCAAGCCUCGCUUGGUAUUGGGCAACGCGGUCCGCCGCGUGCCUCAAAUCGACCGGCUGGGUCUUCUGUCCCCUAAGCGUUGUGGAAACUAUUCGCUAAAGGGUGCUCGGGAGGCUACGCCGUAAAACAAACCCAUUUCUAAGGUUGACCUCGGAUCAGGUAGGGAUACCCGCUGAACUUAAGCAUAUCAAUAAGCGGAGGA